AAAAAAAAAAAAAAAAACAAGCCAAAUUAGCUCCAAGAUCUCUUUCCCCUCUUUCAAAUAAUCUUUUAAUUUAUGUAAAGUCUUCUUAUAGCUCCCUUAUAACAUUUAUCAGAUCCUACCUGUGUUUUUGUUAUCUGAGUUUUUCAUACUCUACCCAUUCUCUCUACUUCUUCCAAUUCCAAGUCCUUGAAGCCAGGGAUUUUUGUUUCAUUCAUCUCCAACUUAUCCCUCCUCCAACUUGUUAAAUUUUUAAAAAACCCAUUCUCUGAUCAAAACCUCAAAUCUGGGAGUUCCUGUCAUGGCGCAGUGGUUAACAAAUCCGACUAGGAACCAUGAGGUUGCGGGUUCGGUCCCUGCGCUUGCUCAGUAGGUUAAUGAUCUGGUGUUGCCGUGAGCUGUGGUGUAGGUUGCAGACGCGGCUCGGAUCCCGCGUUGCUGUGGCUCUGGCGUAGGCUGGUGGCUACAGCUCCGAUUAGACUCCUAGCCUGGGAACCUCCAUAUGCCGCGAGAGCGGCCCAAGAAAUAGCAAAAAGACAAAAAAAAAAAAAAAAAAAAAAAAAAAAAAAAAAAAAAACACCUCAAAUCUGUUCUGCUUACUUAUGCAAAUGCUCUCAUUAUGAAAAUUCUACCACCUCCCAUGACUUCCAAUCCAUAGAUGCCACUCUCAGUAUUCAUCAGUCUUCCUCUGUCUUCACUUGCCUCUAGCAUUCUUCCUCUCCACGCCAGGUUAACAAUGCUAGAUAAAUUUAUAAACCCAUAUAAACUGGUACAGUGGGUUUAACAUUUUAAAAUAUGUCCUCCCCUCCAUUAGUUAUCCAUAUAACAGUAAAGUUGUUCCUUUUAAAUAUGUUAAUAGGCAGGACUCCUUUGACUGUCACAUAACUGGGUGUGUAAGUGGUUGUCUCUGACUGCUGGUUCCCAGUCCAACCCCUAGUUUAGGCACAUGGAUACCCUUCAAGAUCUAACCUCUAUUCUUGGGCUCUUUCUUAAGACCCUCCCCAAACACGCUUUACGUCUUCAGUGCUAGAUGUGGGAUCUAUGUAUGGGGAUAUUCUAUGACAAAAUGUUCAUUUCUUUUUAUAAAAGCAAAUCAAAAAAAUUAAGAGAAUAUGUACUUUUCCAAUAAUCUGAGAAACCAUCCCCCACUGAGUUCAGGCACCAGCUCUGCAGUGAAGUCUGGUUCCUCACUCUCUCCCCAGGCAUAGUAUCUCCACCCCCCUGUGUAUGUGCAUAUGUGUGUAUGUGGAAGGAUACAUCUUUGGAAAUUAGGAGCAAGCACCAUUGAAGGAAUAUGCAAUUCACUUUUACCUCAGUAGCCAUUUCUUAGAAUAAACAACAGAAUGCUCACUUUAGCUGGUACUGCUAAAAUUGCCCAUUCUUUUCCUGAAAUAGUUACUAUUAGUUCAGUUUUAAAAAUCACAGUCCAAAUUAGAAGCUAUAAAAAUCAUGUUCAAAACUGCCCUCUCUGGAUAGUCUUCUAAAAAUCAAUGAUUUAAUUUACUAAAAAUUUAAAACAGGUUUCCUAAAACCUCUAAGGGUACAUUCAACUAUUCUCCCUUUCUCCUGAAGACACUUUUUUGUCUGCCCAGAAGGUUUAAAGCAUUCUCUUUUACUUUUCCAAAACUCAGCCUCAUCACAGUCCACUGAUGUUUCCAAAAUCAACAGUGACUUCUGAGAACCAACCUCAUUUCUUUUUGACAUAUGUUACCUGCAAAAUGGCUUGGCUUUAAUUAUAGGGUUUAUAGAGUUUGCGAUCAACCCAGUGUAAAUAUUUGCUGCAGGUGGAUUUUUACCAAACCCAGAAGGUGCCUCCACAUGAAGCAAGUAGGAACCUCACUCCAUCAACUCAGAUAUGCAGGAGAUAAACUUUAUUUUUCCAUUAUUCCACUGCCUUUUUGAAUCUCUGUUCUCAUGGAGGUAGUGGGACAUCUGUUCCCAGCAAUCAGCUACUCUGCUUUUCCUGGGGCUGGCCCAACUUUCUGAGGAUAGGGGAGUGCUUUCAUUGUAGCAAGACACUGCGAAGGGCAUUUGCCAUUUGUCCACACAAAGUCUCCUCAAGCCAUCCCUUAGAGCUGUCUGCAUGACCCCUUCAAACCUGGCUGUUCUCUCCACUGUUUAUAUUCCUGAAGACCCAGGAACUGUCUGGGCUUUGGUGUCAUGCUAGGGCACCAGAAUCUCCGUGAAGUUAUCCAUGAACACAUUUGCCCAGCUUCAGCAUACUGCUAGUUCUUCUGGCAGGAAAGAUGUUGCUUCUAUGGGCACCUACCCAGGAUGAAGGGAACAGAUCACCUCUGAUCUCAGUGUCUCUGAUCGCAGAGUUUUUUGGUGGUUGGCUAUGCCCCUAAGACCUCCUCUGGAACCUGUCUUACUACAUCCCUACAUCUCUGCCCUGCUUAGUUCUCCAUAUACUUUUUCAUCCCCAUCCAAACUCCCCUUAUUCCAAGAAAUAUUUUUCUCAUCUAGGGGAAUUGUUUUGUCUAUCUCAUAAAGUUUCUUCCAAGCACUUUGGCUGAAAUCCUAUUAUGGCUCACUUCCCUCCUGAAAUGACAAGCACACACGUGCCUGCUCUAGUCCCUGGCCCCUGCUGAGUUCCUUAAGCAGCCACCAUUCCCUAGGCCUGGAGACUCUCUCAACCCUCCAUUUGGCUGCCUCCUUCUCACCCUUCCUGCCUCAGUUUAAAUGUUGCCUCUUCAAUGAAACUUUCCCUGACCACCCUAUGCAGCCAUUCAUCAUCCUCCAUUACUGUUUGUUUCCUUCAUAGCCCUAUCAUAGCUCAUUAUUUUUUGUUUCUCUUUUGUUUACCUGUUUGUUGCAUGUAUUCCCUCUAGACUGUUAAGUUCCCAGAGAGCAGAGAUUUUGUCUGUCUUAAGGUUAAGAGGAUGAACAUUGGAGCCAACCUGCCUGGGUUCUAAUCUCAGCUCUGCACUUACUAGCUAUGUGAUCUUGGGCAAAUUACUAAACCUCUCGGUAACUCAGUUUCCUCAUCUAUAAGAUGAGGGAAACAUUCCUCAUAGAGUUGUUAUAAUAGUUAAAUGAGUCAAGACCUGGCACAUAGUAAGUGCUGUCAAGUGUGUAUUAGACAAAGUACCUAGUAGUUGGUAUAAUGCCUAAAUCACAUGGGAUGCUGAAAGCAUAUUUGUUGACUAUAGAAAUUAAUAAAAGAAUGAGUGAAUGAAUGAAUGCACACUACAAGUCCAAACAUACACAGUCUUUCAUCUAUGACUCAUUUGCUCUACUAGCUGAAACACAAUGCAACAAGGUCAGGGUCAUUUGCUUGAAUCCUUAUAAAGGGCAGCAUAAUUUAUUGUUCCACAGCAACUAACUACACCUCUUAGCCUAUGUAGCUGCCUAGCAAUUGAAUAGUACUGUUUUCAAUUGGAAUGACUAAUUCUUAAUGAAUCAAUGUUUGUCACAGUUAAUAUACAAAUCACAUGUAGAACAUGACUUAUUUACUAUAGUUUCAUAUUUUCACCAGCUUCAUAAAUGAUAGCUCUUGUUUUUAAUCAUCCUACAAAAACUAUGUAAUUUUAUCAACAAUUGUCUUAGAAUCCAAAAAGAGAAGUGUAACAGCAACUUAAUUCUGGUCUACUUAAAAUUAUUUACAUGUGUAUAAAAUUCCUACUUUAUUAAAAAUUAUUACAUAACUUUAUAACUUAAUUUAUAAAUUAUUAAAUAUUUAUUUAAAAAAUCCAUAGGUAUGAAUUUACCUAUAUAUCUGGGUAUGUAGAUCAAAUUAAGUCAAGUAUUUGACUCAAGGGAUGGUCCAUAGAAAUAUCUGAAAACCUUUCUAUUCAUCCACAUGUUGACAUUUUUUUCAGUGGAAAGGAAAAGCAAAAGAAGAUAUAAAAAUGUAAGAUAUAUAAGAUACAUAUGAUAUAAAAUGAUAAAAACGAUCUUUAAAGAUGAGACAUUACUAUGAAUUUAAGAUUAUCUACCACAUCUACAAAUACAAGUAUUAUUAUUUUGACAGCUUUGUGGGCUUCAAGGUUCCUGCUUAUGAACUUUUCUCUAUAAUUAGCUUGUCCUCUGCCCACUCCAGGGCAAUAUAAAGGAAUCAUUGGCCUAGGGAGUUGGUCUAGCACUGCAUAGUCAAAAAGAAGAUUAUUCUGAUAUUAGAAAAGAGAAAUGAUUUUGAAGGCUGUGCUUACUAUGGAAAAAUCCAGCCUACAUAAGAAUGUUCUAGGUGUCCAGCACUUGUUAUCCAAGGAGCACAGGAUGGUCCCUGUGACUCCCUGAAAAGGGGAAAAAUUACUAUUUUCCCAGACUCAAUCCAUUAUCAGCUCUUGAGGAGAGCAGAGCUGUUAUAGGUAAAUAAAAGUCCUUUAAUCUGUUUGCUUAUACACUCUCCUUGAAAUUUAUUCCCGUAUGGGAAAUAUAAAACUUUUAUCCACAUAACUAACAAAAUAAAGGUGUAAGAUAGAUGCAUUCUGCCAUGACCAACCUGUCAGUUCCUGACCCUGUAAUCAUUCAGUAGUCACUGCUAAUUCAUGUUAGAUCCUGAGCUGCAUUCACAGAGCUCUGACAUGAAUAUCUACUCUAUUGAGUAGAACACCUGAGAAGUUUUCUCUGAUUAAUGUGUCUAACAGCAAAAUGUUCUAUAUUCUACCACUAAUACAUUACGUACUCAAGUAGCCUAACUUCUAACACUUACCUCUCUUUUCCGCUUUCCUUGGGUCUCAUGUCCCAAUUUUAAAAUCCCUCUGACUAUAUGGCCAUAUAUAGAAAUGCUAUCUCCCUAUUACACUUGAUUUUAUGCCAAUACCAUGAUUCAUUUUAUAUAGGCAGCUCAAUCUAGCAUUACCUCUCCAGCCUAACAUCUCAUUGUGUUUUGUUUAGCUCACUGGAUCAAAAAUAUAUUGCCAUGUCAUUUUCUCCACUGGAAAACAUAUUUACUAUCAUUUUUUUUUUCAUGGAAAUCUGACUUUAUCCUUUGCACACUGCUCAUCUCCCCCACCAAUGCCUCUCUCCACCCCACAUAAUUCUUUCAUCAUUUCAAUAAAUUGAUAUAUUGGAAUGGAAAAAAUUUAUUUCAGUCUCAGGGAUCAAUUUAUGAUAAUCUUAAAUAAGUCGCUUUUUAAUUGAUGAGUCUACUGCAAAUUGCAUACUUCAGUUUACUCUGUACAGAAUACAAUUAAACUAAGGCAAAGCUGGUUAUGACUCAUGUAUAAUAAAAUGAAAACAGUAUCAUCAUUAAAUACCAAAUAAAGCCAUUGAUUCUGUGUAUUAUUCUGUCAGUUUUAAUUGAAUUGCAUUUUCCCCCUUUCAGUUCUUAAUUAUGCAGUUCAUGCUGAAUCUUUAUUUUUGUGCACAGAAUGGGAUAAUGUUCUCUUCUUUCUUACCUUAGUGUCUAAAAAUAUAAGUUUACUGAGAACAGAAAAGUCUUUGUUGGUCUUAAUUAAAGCAAAACACCUGCUUUUAUCCUGGGAGCUGAAUGUGUUGCUGUACUGAGACUGUUACCAAGUGAGGGGACAAUAGGGCUGCUUCCUGUUGCACGUCCUUCUUCCUGACCUGUGGUUUCAGCCUCUUUCCAAAUUCUAUCAGAAGAGGAAAACCGAGACAUCACACUGCCCAGCCAAGAAGAUUCAGGGGACCUCUCUAGCCUGCUAAUGAGCAUUAACUCUGUCUACACUGUCAAGUCUAGUACAAAGUGAAGUAGCUACUACUGAACAUGGGUGUAAAUUUGGUUAGUGAGAUAAUAAUCUAAAAAUUCAUUCUUUUCUUCAGUUGACUUGUGAAAGACUUAAAGGUAAAAGCCAGACUUUCUUCUCUGAUAUGUGCCACCCAACUGAGAUCAUGUGCAAGUGAAAACAAAUAAGAGGAGACGGAAUAAGUGUAGAUACCUAGAUAUGAAGGAAAGUCUGCGACUACAAUGUAAUUCCUUUAAUUCAAAACAGGCAAAGGGAACACAACUUCUACUCUUCCCUCUUCCAGUAAAGGUGCUGUCUAUUUCUAAAGCGCUUCUGCCAGAUUCAAGUCCAUCCAUCACUCUAACAGCAACACAACUUUAUUUCUAAGACUCAAUUCAGAGGAGCCAGAUGCUCUUGUCUAGAGGUAUCAAUGACAGCAAGUAGUGGGCAAGUUAUUGACCUUGGAGCAUAUGAUAAAGGCAAAAUAUUGAAUUUUCCAGUAGGACAGUGUCCCAACAGAAACCUAACUUGGUGAAUAAAUCUCAGAACUGAGAAUCAAGGGAUGACCUGGGGUUAGUCCAAAUGAUAUUCAAUAUGCACUGAGUAAAUAAAGAGAGAAGAUUAUUAGCACAGUCUAGAAGCACAGAUACCCAGUUCCUGAGUCAAGAGAAGCGAAUUUGGACAUGUCCUGGAUGUUGAGGAAUUGGCCUCUGGGACUGAGAACACCUAAUCACCGUUGAGGAGCUGGGUCUCCGUGGAAUAUCUCCUAGCUCUGGCAUAUCAGACUCUGUCACACAUGCAGCUUUAUCUCCAGUCUCCAUGCCAAUGGAGAAAACUGUCUAAGAAUGAGAAAAGGCACUAAUCUUCUUGUACUCAUUUUACCCAUGUUGAACCUCGUCUGCCCAAAUUUCCUUGUACCAUGUACUGCAAAUCAUUCAAAUAAGCUUAUUCCAAUUCCACCUCUUUUUCAUUCCCAACCAACCCUUA
Molecule: long non-coding RNA, 6614 nt
Filed under: Sus scrofa (pig)
Lineage: Eukaryota; Metazoa; Chordata; Mammalia; Artiodactyla; Suidae
Description: lncRNA (ENSSSCG00000051885.1)
Source: RNAcentral